RNAcentral lists this transfer RNA (82 nucleotides) under Suillus subalutaceus. RNAcentral's name for it is "tRNA-Ala". It matches the Rfam family "tRNA". Rfam says of the family: Transfer RNA (tRNA) molecules are approximately 80 nucleotides in length. Lineage: Eukaryota; Fungi; Basidiomycota; Agaricomycetes; Boletales; Suillaceae. RNAcentral also lists the same sequence under 2 other names. The record is from RNAcentral.
GGGCCCUUGGCACAGUUGGUAGCGCGUACGCUUCGCAAACCGUGAUUGCGUAAGGUCGUGGGUUCAACUCCCACAGUGUCCA